RNAcentral lists this ribosomal RNA (174 nucleotides) under Pyramimonas parkeae. Its description in RNAcentral is "partial Bacterial large subunit ribosomal RNA". It matches the Rfam family "Bacterial large subunit ribosomal RNA", at positions 2754 to 2925 of the family's 2925-position model. The record is from RNAcentral. Lineage: Eukaryota; Viridiplantae; Chlorophyta; Pyramimonadophyceae; Pyramimonadales; Pyramimonadaceae.
UUCGGACGGGAUAACCGCUGAAAGCAUCUAAGCGGGAAACUCGUCUCAAGAUGAGUCUUGCCGGGGCCUUGAGCCCCCUGAAGGGUCGUUCGAGACCAGGACGUUGAUAGGCUGGGUGUGGAAGCGCAGUAAUGCGUUAAGCUAACCAGUACUAAUUGCCCGUGAGGCUUGACC